Molecule: long non-coding RNA, 254 nt
Filed under: Homo sapiens (human)
Lineage: Eukaryota; Metazoa; Chordata; Mammalia; Primates; Hominidae
Description: non-protein coding lnc-NUAK1-4:1
Source: RNAcentral
UGACAGUUUUGAAGAGUACCGGGCAGAUAUUGUGGAGGACAUCCCUUAGUAUGGUUAUAGAUGAUGUUUUCCUCAGAUUAGACUGGAGCGAUCUGUUCUUGGGAUGAAGACCACAGAGGCAACAGAAACAAUCUUUGUCCAACCAGCAAAAGAGGGAUUUGGAGAAAGAAAAUGAAGCAGCUUAUGGAACAGAAGGUAAAGCUGGAGAAGUAGGAUUGGAGCAUCUGGGGAGCAGACACUCAUGGGUGUGGGCG